This 1523-nucleotide long non-coding RNA is filed under the name Sus scrofa (pig). RNAcentral describes it as "lncRNA (ENSSSCG00060073868.1)". The record is from RNAcentral. Lineage: Eukaryota; Metazoa; Chordata; Mammalia; Artiodactyla; Suidae.
AAUCAGUGACGGUAAGUGGUUUUAGAGAAAACAGCCCCGAGCACUGUUCCUUCUAAGAGGACUGUUACACCUUAAUAAAUUCUCUAGCUGUUUUUUGACUGUUUGCAGAUAACAGGAAACUCUUAUUCAAAAAUAUAUUAACCUCCCACCCCUACCCCCCAGCCAAUCAGCCCGGCAGCAUUUGAACUUGCUGGGGCACAUAGCCAAAGCAGCUUUUACUUGGUCUCAGCCAUUCCCCCCCCCCACACACACCUGUUCCUUCUCUGUAGGCUUCUGCUCGGGGUCAGGCAGCCUGGAACUGCAUUUGAAAUGAUUCUGAACAUAUAACAGGAAAGGAGUGUACACCCACCAAACAAGACCACGUAAGGAACACUGUGAUCGGUGCAUCUGUGCGGCUCACUCCGGAGUCCCAGCCCUCACCAGCUGCGUGGUGACAUCUCUUGGAAGGCAUUAUCUACCUUAACCCAUGGUUCUGAGAUGCUGGGCAGGGGGACUGCCUUUGCCAUCUGGAGAGCCGCUACCUGUCCUGCUCCUUCCGGUGGCCCGAGAGAGGGUGCGAUUUUAAAAAAUUCAUAUAUGCAGAGAAGAAAAAUUUGACCCAGAGGAAAGGCCAUGUGAGAAGGUCGUUGUCUGCAAGCCAAGGAGAGAGACCUCAGAAGAAACCAAACCUGCUGACACCGUGACUUUGGGCCACCAGCUUCCAGAACAUUCCCAGGCCAAGGAUCAGAUCUGAACCGAAGUUGCAACCGACACCACCGCUGCUGGACUGGGCCAGGAUUGAACCUGCAUCCAUCCUGGCGCUGCAGAGAUGCUGCCGAUCCUGUUGCACCAUGGCGAGAACUCCCCCAUGGAAAGUUUUUUAAGCAAAAAGGAAAUCUUUGGGGUCAGAUGACUGGGGUAGCUUCUAACAACUGCAGAGUGAUUCCAGGCACCAGGGCCUCACCUGCGAGGUCCUCGUACCACACUCUCUCGCUGAGGCCCUUGGCCUGGUUUGUGCAGAGAAAACGACCACUAAGAGAAUGCCAGAGUCUCUUUGCCCAAAAAAAGGACAUCUCCCAUCGCAGAUGCUCGCUUUGCAAUGUGACUUUGGCGUUCCUCACGGUGGGAGCCGGGGUCUAUGUUUUCUGCAUUUGAAUCUGGGUGGACCCGUGACUAUAGUGGAACUGGCCCUACAUGACUUCCAAGGCUGGGUCACGAAGGACGACACAGUUGCGGCCUGGUUUGCUGGCACAUUGCCUUUGGAGUCCUGAGCUGAGCUGCCCAGGCAGGAGCCCGAGGCUGCCAUGCUGUCCCAUGAAAGUGUUCUGACCUAGAGCCCCAGCUGAAGGCCCAUCGACCAGCCAGCAUCAACCACCUCAUAUGAGUGAAGCUGCCUCCACGGACUCUGGUCCCCUGCUAUUGAGUUCUCCCUGUAGAGGCCCCAGGUAUUGGGGAGCAGGGACACGUCCUCCCCAGUGCGCCCUGUCAGAAUUCCUGCCCUGCAGAAUCUGCGCGCAUGAUAAAAUGGUAGUUUUAGGCUCCGC